RNAcentral lists this long non-coding RNA (718 nucleotides) under Ananas comosus (pineapple). RNAcentral's name for it is "long non-coding RNA (ACOM_LNC043351)". Lineage: Eukaryota; Viridiplantae; Streptophyta; Magnoliopsida; Poales; Bromeliaceae. The record is from RNAcentral.
UUAUGACAAUUUACAUUAUGUUAACAGUUCUACAACAGUUUUUAGCAUGCUAUCCGUUUCGUUUAUUUUAUUUAAAAAUAAACUUAGUUAGAAAUAUGAAUCAAUUAGGAUUCGAACUUAGGACCUCGAAUACCAAUAAACUUAGUUAGAAAUAUGAAUCAACUAGGAUUCGAACCAUCAAGCCAUUUGCCAUUUGCACUAGGAACAGGCAGUACACUUGUACAAAAGUUUGAAAACAAAACCUGCAGGGACCACGUUGCAAUAUCAAAAUAUAUAGUACUGGGACCAUGCCAUACGUUUUUCUCUUUAACAUAGUAAAGUCAAAAUGAUAGGCUCCCUUCAAUGAAUCACAUUAAGCACGGCAACGACUCAGGUCAAAUAAAAUUUCAUUUUUUCCAUUUUAUUUACGAAAUUUAAUAAGUGCAUAAAAACCUAAGAGUCGUCUUAUUAAAUUCACAUCGUUUCUAAAAUAGAUGGACUGUGUGAUUCAAGUAUCAGAUGAGAUUCACGAUGAGUACCUAACCACUUCUUGUACUAUUGAAAAGCGGAUCCUCCUUUAGAAAUUCGCGAAGCAUAUGUUAGCAUAGCAUUAUUCAAAGAGUCAAGGAUUAAGUGCGUGCUAGUUUUGCCGAAAGUGAAGUUACGAUUGAAAUUGAUUUCUAAUUGAACUAGAGUUCAAGUGAAUAUUUUUUACUUUCCUAUUGUUUGUUUCUAUUAU